UUUGUAUAAUGGGUCAGCGACUUAUAUUCAGUGGCAAGGUUAACCAUCUAGGGGAGCCGUAGGGAAACCGAGUCUUAACUGGGCGUUCAGUCUCUGGAUAUAGACCCGAAACCAGGUGAUCUAGCCAUGGGCAGGUUGAAGGUUGAGUAACAUCAACUGGAGGACCGAACCGACUAAUGUUGAAAAAUUAGCGGAUGACUUGUGGCUAGGGGUGAAAGGCCAAUCAAACCUGGAGAUAGCUGGUUCUCCCCGAAAGCUAUUUAGGUAGCGCCUCGGACGAAUACUACUGGGGGUAGAGCACUGUUAAGGCUAGGGGGUCAUCCCGACUUACCAACCCUUUGCAAACUCCGAAUACCAGUAAGUACUAUCCGGGAGACACACGGCGGGUGCUAACGUCCGUCGUGGAGAGGGAAACAACCCAGACCGCCAGCUAAGGUCCCAAAUUACUACUAAGUGGGAAACGAUGUGGGAAGGCUCAGACAGCCAGGAUGUUGGCUUAGAAGCAGCCAUCAUUUAAAGAAAGCGUAAUAGCUCACUGGUCGAGUCGGCCUGCGCGGAAGAUGUAACGGGGCUAAGUAGUAAACCGAAGCUGCGGCAAUGUGCUUUUGCACAUUGGGUAGGGGAGCGUUCUGUAAGCGGUUGAAGGUGUGUGGUAACGCAUGCUGGACGUAUCAGAAGUGCGAAUGCUGACAUGAGUAACGAUAAAGGGGGUGAAAAACCUCCUCGCCGGAAGACCAAGGGUUCCUGUCCAACGUUAAUCGGGGCAGGGUAAGUCGACCCCUAAGGCGAGGCCGAAAGGCGUAGUCGAUGGGAAACGGGUUAAUAUUCCCGUACUUCUUACAAUUGCGAUGGGGGGACGGAGAAGGCUAGGUGGGCCUGGCGACGGUUGUCCAGGUUCAAGUGCGUAGGCUUAAGAGUUAGGUAAAUCCGGCUCUUUCUAAGGCUGAGACACGACGUCGAGCACCUACGGGUGUGAAGUCAUUGAUGCCAUGCUUCCAGGAAAAGCCUCUAAGCUUCAGAUUGUAAGGAAUCGUACCCCAAACCGACACAGGUGGUCGGGUAGAGAAUACCAAGGCGCUUGAGAGAACUCGGGUGAAGGAACUAGGCAAAAUGGUACCGUAACUUCGGGAGAAGGUACGCUCUCGACGGUGAAGUCCCUCGCGGAUGGAGCUAUUGAGAGUCGCAGAUACCAGGUGGCUGCAACUGUUUAUUAAAAACACAGCACUGUGCAAAAUCGUAAGAUGACGUAUACGGUGUGACGCCUGCCCGGUGCCGGAAGGUUAAUUGAUGGGGUUAGACUUCGGUCGAAGCUCUUGAUCGAAGCCCCGGUAAACGGCGGCCGUAACUAUAACGGUCCUAAGGUAGCGAAAUUCCUUGUCGGGUAAGUUCCGACCUGCACGAAUGGCGUAAUGAUGGCCACGCUGUCUCCACCCGAGACUCAGUGAAAUUGAAAUCGCUGUGAAGAUGCAGUGUACCCGCGGCUAGACGGAAAGACCCCGUGAACCUUUACUACAGCUUGGCACUGAACAUUGACCCUACAUGUGUAGGAUAGGUGGGAGGCUUUGAAGCACGUACGCCAGUAUGUGUGGAGCCGUCCUUGAAAUACCACCCUUGUAGUGUUGAUGUUCUAACGUCGACCCCUAAUCGGGGUUGCGGACAGUGCCUGGUGGGUAGUUUGACUGGGGCGGUCUCCUCCCAAAGAGUAACGGAGGAGCACGAAGGUGGGCUAAUCACGGUUGGACAUCGUGAGGUUAGUGCAAUGGCAUAAGCCCGCUUGACUGCGAGAAUGACAAUUCGAGCAGGUGCGAAAGCAGGUCAUAGUGAUCCGGUGGUUCUGAAUGGAAGGGCCAUCGCUCAACGGAUAAAAGGUACUCCGGGGAUAACAGGCUGAUACCGCCCAAGAGUUCAUAUCGACGGCGGUGUUUGGCACCUCGAUGUCGGCUCAUCACAUCCUGGGGCUGAAGUCGGUCCCAAGGGUAUGGCUGUUCGCCAUUUAAAGUGGUACGCGAGCUGGGUUUAGAACGUCGUGAGACAGUUCGGUCCCUAUCUGCCGUGGGCGUUGGAAGAUUGAAGGGGGCUGCUCCUAGUACGAGAGGACCGGAGUGGACGAACCUCUGGUGUUCGGGUUGUGUCGCCAGACGCAUUGCCCGGUAGCUAAGUUCGGAAUCGAUAACCGCUGAAAGCAUCUAAGCGGGAAGCGAGCCCUGAGAUGAGUCUUCCCUGAUACUUUAAGUAUCCUAAAGGGUUGUCGGAGACUACGACGUUGAUAGGUCAGGUGUGUAAGUGCUGUGAGGCAUUGAGCUAACUGAUACUAAUUGCCCGUGAGGCUUAACCAUACAACACCCAAGGGGUUU
RNAcentral lists this ribosomal RNA (2354 nucleotides) under Vibrio parahaemolyticus. Its description in RNAcentral is "partial 23S ribosomal RNA". It matches the Rfam family "Bacterial large subunit ribosomal RNA", at positions 607 to 2925 of the family's 2925-position model. The record is from RNAcentral. Lineage: Bacteria; Pseudomonadati; Pseudomonadota; Gammaproteobacteria; Vibrionales; Vibrionaceae.